Molecule: long non-coding RNA, 340 nt
Filed under: Phaseolus vulgaris (common bean)
Lineage: Eukaryota; Viridiplantae; Streptophyta; Magnoliopsida; Fabales; Fabaceae
Description: long non-coding RNA (PVUL_LNC005321)
Source: RNAcentral
UACGGUUGUAUAGCCUAAAUCAUCAUCAUCUUCUUCUUCUUCAAGUCACCAUGGUGGAGGGUGUUUGGUUUAUAAGAAAGAAAAUUCGUUGUGGUGCUUAAAUGUCAUCCUGGCCUUGAAACUAAAAUAUGGUCAUUUUGCAUUUUUAAAAAUAUUAAAUAUACAUGCAAUUUAGUUUUAAAUACUUUUCCUCAACAUGCAGCUCAUUACAUUCUACGGCAACUAGAUUGCUUUGUCGAACCUGGGAGACUAAUGAUCGAGCCUUUGGGAGUUUGCAAGUGAACUUUUCACUCUACACUUUCCUGUAUCUCCAUUGCAACAAAUAUUAUUUUAGGUGGAC